Molecule: long non-coding RNA, 777 nt
Filed under: Falco tinnunculus (common kestrel)
Lineage: Eukaryota; Metazoa; Chordata; Aves; Falconiformes; Falconidae
Description: lncRNA (ENSFTIG00000005196.1)
Source: RNAcentral
GAGGACAACCAGUAGCCUGUUCUGCUCUUAUCUACUAUGGUGUUCACCUAAUGCCACUGUGGCUUCCCUUUUUUUUGACUCAUACAGGGCCAGGACACACAGAAUAUAUAUAAGUAUACCCGUUAUGUCGGGUCCCACUGCUGACCCUUUCCCACUGUGGGAGGUCAGGACCGUGUUAUCGCUAAGGUACCGCUGGGUUUAUUGAACUGCAAGUUGAAGAAGCUUCUGUGGCAGCAGCUGGAUUUGCACCCGUCACUCAGGAGGAGGUCUUGGCUGUACAGUUGAACUAAAGAAUUUUUCUGCCUGAAGCCAAAACAAACAGAAAAUAACUAACAGUAAUAGGGUGGGAGCCUUCAAACACGAGAUGUGUUCAUUACUGGUUUCAGAGGUGAAGAAAAUACAUUUAAAGAGCACAGGCUCCUGGAUUUGUAGAAGACAGACAUCCAGGGCACUUCUUGGCAUCCACAGGAAAAUCAUAUGGGAUUAAAAACCCACAGCAGUAAGUACUCGCUGCAUUAAAUGUUUAUUAAGUGGCAUGCUGUCAAAACCUAGAUUUAAUAGUAAAUACAGGAGGACUUUAAUGGAAAUUGGUUGUAUUUGAUUUUUCUUAGGAAUUGCUGAAAGCUGCCGCUUGAGGAUUACAACUUCACCUUUUGCUUUUAUGGAUGCUUGUUUACUAUCCAUGUGGUAUCCUCUGGACAGCAAAUAAUCCAUUCAUUAUCCACACUGAUUGAGUGCAGGAGUAGUGCAGUGGGAACUACUUCACUCAGCUGACGG